AAAUCCGGUUCACUUUAACACUGAGGCGUGACGACGAGGCACUACGGUGCUGAAGCAACAAAUGCCCUGCUUCCAGGAAAAGCCUCUAAGCAUCAGGUAACAUCAAAUCGUACCCCAAACCGACACAGGUGGUCAGGUAGAGAAUACCAAGGCGCUUGAGAGAACUCGGGUGAAGGAACUAGGCAAAAUGGUGCCGUAACUUCGGGAGAAGGCACGCUGACACGUAGGUGAAGUGAUUUACUCAUGGAGCUGAAGUCAGUCGAAGAUACCAGCUGGCUGCAACUGUUUAUUAAAAACACAGCACUGUGCAAACACGAAAGUGGACGUAUACGGUGUGACGCCUGCCCGGUGCCGGAAGGUUAAUUGAUGGGGUCAGCGCAAGCGAAGCUCCUGAUCGAAGCCCCGGUAAACGGCGGCCGUAACUAUAACGGUCCUAAGGUAGCGAAAUUCCUUGUCGGGUAAGUUCCGACCUGCACGAAUGGCGUAAUGAUGGCCAGGCUGUCUCCACCCGAGACUCAGUGAAAUUGAACUCGCUGUGAAGAUGCAGUGUACCCGCGGCAAGACGGAAAGACCCCGUGAACCUUUACUAUAGCUUGACACUGAACAUUGAGCCUUGAUGUGUAGGAUAGGUGGGAGGCUUUGAAGUGUGGACGCCAGUCUGCAUGGAGCCGACCUUGAAAUACCACCCUUUAAUGUUUGAUGUUCUAACGUGGACCCGUUACCCGGGUUGCGGACAGUGUCUGGUGGGUAGUUUGACUGGGGCGGUCUCCUCCUAAAGAGUAACGGAGGAGCACGAAGGUUGGCUAAUCCUGGUCGGACAUCAGGAGGUUAGUGCAAUGGCAUAAGCCAGCUUGACUGCGAGCGUGACGGCGCGAGCAGGUGCGAAAGCAGGUCAUAGUGAUCCGGUGGUUCUGAAUGGAAGGGCCAUCGCUCAACGGAUAAAAGGUACUCCGGGGAUAACAGGCUGAUACCGCCCAAGAGUUCAUAUCGACGGCGGUGUUUGGCACCUCGAUGUCGGCUCAUCACAUCCUGGGGCUGAAGUAGGUCCCAAGGGUAUGGCUGUUCGCCAUUUAAAGUGGUACGCGAGCUGGGUUUAGAACGUCGUGAGACAGUUCGGUCCCUAUCUGCCGUGGGCGCUGGAGAACUGAGGGGGGCUGCUCCUAGUACGAGAGGACCGGAGUGGACGCAUCACUGGUGUUCGGGUUGUCAUGCCAAUGGCACUGCCCGGUAGCUAAAUGCGGAAGAGAUAAGUGCUGAAAGCAUCUAAGCACGAAACUUGCCCCGAGAUGAGUUCUCCCUGAGACUUAAAGUCUCCUGAAGGAACGUUGAAGACGACGACGUUGAUAGGCCGGGUGUGUAAGCGCAGCGAUGCGUUGAGC
RNAcentral lists this ribosomal RNA (1379 nucleotides) under Salmonella enterica subsp. enterica serovar Enteritidis. RNAcentral's name for it is "partial 23S ribosomal RNA". It matches the Rfam family "Bacterial large subunit ribosomal RNA", at positions 1538 to 2891 of the family's 2925-position model. The record is from RNAcentral. Lineage: Bacteria; Pseudomonadati; Pseudomonadota; Gammaproteobacteria; Enterobacterales; Enterobacteriaceae.